GAAUGUUUUGGUACUCAGUGUUUGUCCUUAUCAAGAUUUAUUGGUGUUAUGCGUGUAAAGUGGUAGGUGAGGGCAUGUAUCAUUUUCUUCUACAUUGCGAGCUAUCCAUUAGGUUAUGUUGGGACAUGUUUAGUAGAGAAAAGGUAUUUCUCUAUAUAUAGGAUUUAGAUCAAAAUUGUAUGUUAACUCACUUGUAUGAUUGACUUUAUUUUUGUUUUGUUUUAAUCAUCAGUGCUAGAAAAUAUGCAACUGCUAUAUAUUGAGUGACA
Molecule: unclassified non-coding RNA, 269 nt
Filed under: Hevea brasiliensis (rubber tree)
Lineage: Eukaryota; Viridiplantae; Streptophyta; Magnoliopsida; Malpighiales; Euphorbiaceae
Source: RNAcentral